RNAcentral lists this ribosomal RNA (678 nucleotides) under Triticum aestivum (bread wheat). Its description in RNAcentral is "partial small subunit ribosomal RNA". The record is from RNAcentral. Lineage: Eukaryota; Viridiplantae; Streptophyta; Magnoliopsida; Poales; Poaceae.
AUGCGUACCAAACACCUGAAAAAAGUUCCAACCAAGGAGAAGAGGGAUCAGGCAGCAAGAUUUAUAGCAGUAGUAGCUCAAGAGAGAUGCAUCCACAUCAAUUUGAGAGAAGGAUUAUCAAGCCACCUCCUUCCUUUGCACAAUGCACUUUUUCCCAGCCCAAGGGUAAUUGAAUAUGGUAAAUACUUUGUCACAGUCAGGGAGCUUGCAAACUCAAUGAAGAAGGAAGGUUUUGUCUUGAGCCAUGUAAUGGAAGUUGGUAUAGAGUCUAUAAUGAUGAACUUGCCACCAGACUCAAAGAAGCUUGUGAUGCCCCUCAGGUUCUCGGUUCAGAUGCAAAACAUGGAAUUGAACGACAAGGAGCUCAUUUCUCGGUUCAAGAAGUCGAAUCGCUUGGACCGUAAAGACAUGAUUAUGUUCCCAGUUUUAGAGAACAUUGACAAGACAAAGCCAGUUAUAGGCAAUCAUUACUGGAUUUUUAACGUGAACAUAAGGGACCGGCGUUUUGAGGCUCUUGAUUCUUGGAGGACGCUCCAGAACAAGUCUCUAGAUGUUUGCGCAAGGAAAAUGGUUGCAAGUUUUCGGGCUCUAUGGGAAGAGCAUUACGCCAGCUUCGGCGUCUCGCUGGAUGACUUUGGGCUUACCAACAUCGACGUUCCAAAACAAAAAACUGAGUAA